UGCGUAGGCGGAACAUUAAGUCAGUGGUGAAAUCCUGCGGCUCAACCGUAGAACUGCCAUUGAUACUGAUAUUCUUGAAUGUAGUUGAGGUAGGCGGAAUGUGUAAUGUAGCGGUGAAAUGCUUAGAUAUUACACAGAACACCGAUUGCGAAGGCAGCUUACUAAACUAUGAUUGACGCUGAGGCACGAAAGCGUGGGGAGCGAACAGGAUUAGAUACCCUGGUAGUCC
Molecule: ribosomal RNA, 229 nt
Filed under: uncultured bacterium
Lineage: Bacteria
Description: partial 16S ribosomal RNA
Rfam family: Bacterial small subunit ribosomal RNA
Source: RNAcentral